UCCGAGUUGACCCCGGCAGUCUCCUGCGAGUCCCCGCCAUUACGCGCUGGCAACACAGGACAAGGGUUGCGCUCGUUGCGGGACUUAACCCAACAUCUCUGGCGACCAUACGAGGCAUGUCAAAGGCUGGUAAGGUUCUUCGUGUUGCUUCGAAUUGAACCACAUGCUCCACCGCUUGUGCGGGCCCCCGUCAAUUCCUUUGAGUUUUAAUCUUGCGACCGUACUCCCCAGGCGGGAUGCUUAAUGCGUUAGCUGCGCCACUGACGAGUAAACCCGCCAACGGCUAGCAUCCAUCGUUUACGGCGUGGACUAC
This 313-nucleotide unclassified non-coding RNA is filed under the name uncultured Alphaproteobacteria bacterium. Its description in RNAcentral is "contains 16S-23S intergenic spacer region". Lineage: Bacteria; Pseudomonadati; Pseudomonadota; Alphaproteobacteria. The record is from RNAcentral.